This is a long non-coding RNA of Eriocheir sinensis (Chinese mitten crab), 560 nucleotides long. RefSeq lists it as uncharacterized. The record is from RefSeq and is a predicted model, not a curated record. The transcript has 2 exons. Lineage: Eukaryota; Metazoa; Arthropoda; Malacostraca; Decapoda; Varunidae.
UAACAGAUAUUUACAAUGCCUUUAAACACAAAGGAAUUAACAAAGUACAGUCACCUCUCGAUUAACACGAGUUUAAAUAAUGCGUUUUUGAUUUAACAUGAGUUGAUAUUUAAGGAGAUACGUUUAACUAACGCGAUAUGUUCGAUCUAACACGAGUUUCAUCGAUGACGUCAUGCUCGAUGACAUCACUUUCAAUGACGUCACGCUCGAUGACGUCACCGCGAGGAGACGCUCUCAGUCUGAAGCUAGCCGGCACUGUGAGUGGAACGUUUCUCUGGAAUACGUACACUGCAUUUUGACCUCUACUAUGGCACCCAAGCGUCCUUCCACCUCCUCACAGGAGGUGGAAGAACGGGGUGAGGAGGGAGGAGGGAGAGCGGGGUGAGGAUUCGGCAGACGACGACCAGUGACGCAUCAACAAAGUGAUGAUAAGUGAGCUGCCGAUACAAAGGCCUGGCUGGGGAGAAAUCCCAAGCCACCUGUGACAUCAAGAUCAAGAUCGAGGAGGGACGGUGGCUGACGCAGGUGAAGAACAAAUUUAAAUAAAUUGAGAGCACGUG